RNAcentral lists this long non-coding RNA (2042 nucleotides) under Taeniopygia guttata (zebra finch). Its description in RNAcentral is "lncRNA (ENSTGUG00000021858.1)". Lineage: Eukaryota; Metazoa; Chordata; Aves; Passeriformes; Estrildidae. The record is from RNAcentral.
CACAAGGCUUAAAUGUCAUAUCAUUUUCCAAGCAACAUUACAUCAAUAUUUACUGAUGUCAUCCAUUUACUAGGCUUGUUCUACCAGCAUUCUUACUUUCUGGCUAUCUAGAAUGAUGCAUUUAAGCACAGUUUAAAGUUCUCCAGGAUUUUUAGACAUCCACAGUUCCUUCUGCACCAUUCACAAUUCCUUCCAGUUAUAAUAAGUAGAUUUGCAUUGUCAUUCAUUAGCUCUAUUGUCAUUUACCUGCUAAUUGAACCCUUUGCCAAGUGGGAAUAAUCUGAUAUAUAAGACAUAAAAUACUAAAUGUUCAGAAAGACAAUAGGAUAAAAUAUAUUUUGUCUCAGUAAUGAAACUGCAAUUAGGCAUGUUACCAUUCCAUCCCUAUUCAUAAUAAGGGCAUAUAACUACAAGCAAUCUGGGAAAUAUACAAACUUUAAUUUCCAGGCAAGUGUUAUCUGUCAGACAUUUUUAAGGAUAAAUGCAGGAAACAGAGAGACAUUUUGUAAGUAUACAACUUGGGUCAUUACUGUGCCCUUCCACCUCUUUCAUGUUUGCUUCCAGAAUUAGGUUUUUAGAGGAAAAAAAAGUAUCCUUGUUUUUAGGGUAGAGAUUCAAUCCUAGCUAUUGUUUUAAUAUGCUUUUGAGGUACUUAGAGGAAAGCCAGUUUAUAAAUGCUAACUAUUCUUAUUUGUUUUCUUUGUUACUGUAAUAUUUUCCCAUCCCUUUAGAAAACCAGCCACCUUUCCCCUCUGAAACAAAAGCUUCCAUAUUAAAUGUAUCUAUUCUGUGCUUAAAAAGCAUCUAUCUAACAUUUGGGGAAGAAAAGAAUAGAAAUGUCACAGCAUAAAAUACAAUCACUUCUUUGUGGAAAUUUCUGUCAUAUUUUAUCUGCAUCCUACAUCUACAUAUGAAUAGAUAAGUAUUCAUCGUGAAACCAUUAGGCCUUCACAGGAUGAAAGGAAAUAUAAAGAGUUUGAAAAAUGAAUACAAAUACACAUGCAAUAUGUGCGCUUUUCCCAGCAUAAUGUACGGUAUUUUUCUGCUCUGCAUUAUACCAAAAUGUGAGCACAUUAAGGGCUUAAAGAAUUGGAAGUGUUCAAAAAUAUUCUGAUUGGAACCAGAACUAGACCAGAAAUAUGAGCAGCCUUUGAGCUACUGUACUUUAACUCCACCCAAACACAAUGAGGCCUUUGUGAGAUCAUUUGAAGUGCACAUAUAAAUCCCUGCUUGCCCAUGGCCAUCCUAAGAAGCCAGAAUUAUAGAUUCCCUAUCUGCUUUUCAUCUCACCCAAUUCAUCAGACCAAUUCUUUUGCCCUCUCUUAAAGAAAUAAAAUAAUAUUUUUGUUAUCCCAAAUCUUCAGAGCAUGAUUUAACAAGCGUCUCCCCUCCUGUAAUCUGUGUCUCCAUUGUCAUACUAUAGCUGCUGUGCAGAAGUGGCUCUAUCAAAAUAUCAGCACCCCAUUUUACCUAAAAAAACUGACAUCAGUCUUAUCUUGUUCUGAACUCUAAACAAAAUGUGUCCUGCCUUACAAAAAAAUUUAGAUCAGUUCUUCUUUUAGAAAGACCUUUUUAAAGUAUUCAUCUUGGUGAUAGGUGUAGAGAAUUCAGGUGGAUAAGAAUCCCACCCUUUAAUUGCUGUAACAUUUGUGCCCAUUUCUCUGGUCAAAUGCUCACAGUUCAACUAAUCUGGAACGGAAAUAAACAGCAGUUUAUUUUACGUCAGCGAUUUUAUUUCUCAUAUUUGAAUAUGGAAUACAUAUUAAACAAUCUACCACCUACUAGAAAAAAAUAAUUCUCAGACAGUCGCCCACAACAUCUUCAAUAUGUCAGGAAUGUGAGGAUUAUCCUCUAAAAUAUACUGCCAUGUAUAUGAAACCAAGAUUCACUGUGACCUUUUUACAGCUAAAAGUUUGAACUACCUACAGUAAUGUGUCAUCUGAUCUUACAAAAUAAUACAAGGCAGUGGUAAUUACUGGUGCUUGUGUAAAGAUUUUUAAAUUAUUCCUUCAUAAUAUUAAAAAAAAAAAAAAAACAAAAAA